Triticum aestivum (bread wheat) is the source of this 135-nucleotide non-coding RNA. The record is from Rfam. Lineage: Eukaryota; Viridiplantae; Streptophyta; Magnoliopsida; Poales; Poaceae.
CUACUACUCCCUCCGUCCGAGAAUAGUUGUCAUCAAAAUAGAUAAAAAGAGAUGUAUCUAGAACUAAAAUACAUCUAAAUACAUCCCCUUUUAUCUAUUUUGAUGACAAGUAUUUUCGAACGGAGGGAGUACUAU